Papaver somniferum (opium poppy) is the source of this 740-nucleotide long non-coding RNA. RefSeq lists it as uncharacterized. The record is from RefSeq and is a predicted model, not a curated record. Lineage: Eukaryota; Viridiplantae; Streptophyta; Magnoliopsida; Ranunculales; Papaveraceae. The transcript is spliced from 2 exons.
CAUUCAUCAAUAUACGUUUAGCACUUAGAGAAACCUUAGUAGUCUGCAAUUCAUUCAUUCAUCAUAAUGGCGGCUGCUAAAAGUUCAUUGGUUUUCUUCAUCGUUGCCUUGAUCGUUAUUUCUGCAAACUUGCAGAUGGCAUCAGCACAAGGCGUUGAAUGCACUACUGGGAAGUCCUUGACUAUUGAAUUACCCAGCGGCGAGUGCACUUUGGACACAGAUUGUGGUGAUUUAUGCAACGAGCAGUGCAUUUUACAGUUUCAAUCCGUUUCCGAAGUCUCAGUUUGUGUUCCUCCUGUCGUAGAGGUCCGACUUAAGAGUUGCUUUUGUUGUUGUGUCUAAUAGAGAGUAUACGCUACUCCAAGAGUAGCUUAGUUUUAUGACCUCGACCUAGCUAUUAACAGAUGUUAUGCUUGCUGUCGGGUUAGAAAACUAUGUCAACUCCAAGAAAUGAAGGAAAUUUUAAAUUUUAAAAUAAAAGCAGCAUUUUAAUUAUUUAAAAAAUAAUUAAUCUCAUAUAAUUAAGUGUGUGAAUGUGUUGCUAUGUAUUUAUAGCUAUAUAUACACUUAAUUAGCUGCUAGUUUAGAGUUGUCGUGUUUGUUUGUGUUCGUCGUGCAGUAUUGAUAUGGAUCAUGUAAUGGUUUUCUUAUACUUAUUCGGUGAUUCGGUCAACGUUGAUCAGUAUUUUGUGUGUACGUCUUCUUAUGAUUCUAUAUGAAAUACAUUGAUUGGUUUGCCA